CAAGUCGAGAGCAGCUGAGUUUCACUUUAAAUUCAAAAGGCUACACAUUAGCAGAGAUUCCCUUAUCCCUGUUUCCCGGACUAGACCGAAAGGAGCCGAACGCUUUCCGAAGCUCCUGGACGCUCCACUACGACUGCGUCGAUCUUUUAGUGGAGAGAAGAUUCUUGCUAGCUAAACGCGCAAACUGACGGCGAACUUCCAAAGCUUAAAUGGUAGCCAUUUUUAAAUAAUGCUAUAAAAUGGAGACGGAUGAGCAAUUCGGUGGAAGCUGAGCGUUUAAACUGACUGUUUCCCACGGAGCAGUGAGUUAGCUGGAGCUGCUUGACGAGCUAAUGCUGCUACAGAGCCACAUCACCAAACACUCCCGGAAACAGAACUUUCUCCGCUCCGAUUGGACAGCUGGGAUCUGUAAGAGACCGUUGACAAAUUUAAAGGCGUACACACCUCUUUUCUCCUCGGGGAGUGUCUGACUAAAUUUACCAACUCAAACACGACGAAUAAUGACAGUUAACUGAACUUACACAGUUUGUAAUGAUGGCAAGACAUGACCAAAGAGUCAAACUGAUUGUGAACCACGGGAAGCAGUUGGGGAGGAGUCUGCUCCUCUUGGCCCGCUACACUACGCUGUUUGGGGAGUAUUGUGGGCGUUUUGUUCAGGGGAUAGUGGCGGCUAUGAAGUGGACCAGCCUGUUUGCAAGGACCACAGCAUCGGUUUUUGACUUCAUCUACCAGUGGGGGAAGAGGACAACCGUCAGCACCAAGGAGAUCUGCUUGGACCGGUGACUUUUUAAACAGACUGACCAUGAUGGAAACUUGGACCUCAAUAAACUGUAAUAGUUGAAUAUUUGUGUAUACGAUUACAUACUUGAUGUUUUCAGUCAUUCACCUACCUGCUGUUAUUACUACUUCAGGUGUGUCACAGAGCAACGGGAACAUUCCACAAAAUUUAUUAAUUAUAUAUGUAUAUAUAACAAUUUAAUAACUUUGUAAACACUUUAUACUGUAAUUAACUUUUUAAAAUAAGUUUUGUUUUUAUUUUGACAUUUAAUUUCAUGUGACAGCUACUAUUAAUUUAGUUUAAUACUUUAUCCAUAAUGGAAAUCUAAUGUCUUGACUCAUAUCUUCAAAGCUGUUGUGGAUGGCGAUGCUGUUUGGCAGGAAGGAUCUCCAGCAGCAGUCAAUCAUCCAAUGAAUCUGAAGAGGCCUCUGACUGAAGACUGUUUGAUAUGCUAACAUUUCAGCAUCUGGGCAGCAGAGAUACUAUUCCACAGCAACAUGUCCUGGAUGACGGCAUCAGUUGUUGUCAAACCUGGCUAAUCCACCUCAUUUCAGAGGGAUGUUGGAGUAGGGGAUACAACAUACUUUAUGAUAAAUGGGAGAGACAAUUUGAACUUCCUCCUUCUCUCUUUCAGUUUUUUGGUUCAUAAAAUCUUUUCAAGUCUGUGUUGUAAUUCAGGUUUUAUCUGAGCUUUUGAGAUGCCAACCAGCUACUACCUAAAAAACUGUAAAUUGUUGCCACGGUUACGCACAACAUCCAAAAGUAAAAAUAAAAAAAGAAGAAAUCCUUCCAGCUGGACAGUAUCUACAAGGAGGAAUAAUUGUUCAACAAAUCAACAAAUAAAAAAAGAACAAAUGCAAAAAAAAAGGGAAUAAAUCUUAACAGAGACACUCCAACAUCCUUUUAGAAAAACAAACAGGUGAAAACAUGCAUUUCAUUGUUUUUUGAAACUACUUCCACUUGACAGGUGCACUAUUUUCUCCUAAUGCCACUAAGACCAGAUGGUUUCCUGUGGUUCCUGAACUCUCAGUGUGCUGUAUUGAAAUAAACGUCUUCACUAAU
Gambusia affinis (western mosquitofish) is the source of this 1840-nucleotide long non-coding RNA. RefSeq lists it as uncharacterized. NCBI's taxonomy places the organism in Eukaryota, Metazoa, Chordata, Actinopteri, Cyprinodontiformes, Poeciliidae. The transcript is spliced from 2 exons. The record is from RefSeq and is a predicted model, not a curated record.